This 1974-nucleotide long non-coding RNA is filed under the name Sparus aurata (gilthead seabream). RNAcentral describes it as "lncRNA (ENSSAUG00010018467.1)". The record is from RNAcentral. Lineage: Eukaryota; Metazoa; Chordata; Actinopteri; Spariformes; Sparidae.
AAUUACUAACUAACACACGUAGAUUGGCUGUUAUGACUUGUGUUAUUGGUGGAAAUAGUGGUUCCCUCUCUCUCUGACACUCACAUUCACACACACCGAAGUGGGAGCGGUGAGUAUCAUGCAAGAAUAUAGCCUGCUGCACCACUGUCCUCUCCUCUCCUUUCCUCCUCCUCUCCUCUCCUCUCCUCUCCCUCCUGCCUGCACGGUCGGACCGUCCACCGUACAGGUGCGAGCGAGCAGCGGCUCGAGGCGGUUCGCCAAUUAGGAGCAGCGAGCGUGACCACGUGAACAAAUCCCGUUGUCUAAAUUCCCGUUCAGCGGCAGCAAGCAGCUCGGAGUGAGCUGAGAGCCACACUGAGUCGGAAGUAAUAACGGCGGGCUGAACGGGAGCGCUGUGCAGCCCUACUCCACCGGAAUGAAUCGACCCAGUGCGCGCAUGCGCACUCCCUCCACCAUUCAUCUGUAGCUGCUCCCUCUCCCUCCCGUUCCUCUCGUCUCGUGCGAGAGAAGAGAAACCAGCAGGCGGCUCCGGGCUCGCGCUCUCGCUCCCUCGCUGCCCGGUUGUCAAGGCACUGGCAGUCUGUGACUUCUGCUCGCUGCGGCAGGACGGUGACAGCUCCACUCGGCUCUCUACUCAUUCGUAGCUCGGAUUUUUCGCCCCUUUUGGAUUUCUAUGUUUUGGUGUCAGUGGCGGAGACUCUCAGCAGCUUCUUUACGAGCCCCGUGGUGAACCCUGCCAGCUCUGACGCCGAGACUCCAGACAGAUACCGUGGCUGACACUGAAAAAGAAAAGGGCAGAUAAAAAGAUAGGGAGGACUGAGGGAGGUGAGUGAAUCCAUUCUUAUCUCCCUAUCUGAAUAUCUCUGUAGUAUCUUAAACUCUGUCUGCGCUCGGUGCGUAGAGGGCUGCUGCAGGAUUCAUGGCUUAUUGUGUGCAGUGUCCCUAUCAUUCAGAAGAGGUUGGCUUGCAACCCUGCUGAGCCCAAGACAGAGUGUAUUUGUCUGCAUGAGCACAUGUAUGUGUGUUUGUUAUGGAUUUUCUAUUAGAGUGAGAGGCCAUUGGUUUUCACUUCAAACUGUUGCUAUUUUGUGCCCAGUUUUCCCAAGAAAAACAUCAGACUCCUUUUUGUCCAACAACUUGGACAGGAGAUAAAUGUUUAGAUCAAUUUUCAGACAUGUGUGAUGCAAGUACAUGUCUACGAGAGCUGCGAUGAUUAGUUGAAAAAUCAUCAUCAAUAAUUAAUCAUUUCAGUCUUUUCAAAUAUCAAACAUUUGCUGGUUCCAGCUUCUCAAAUGUAAGGAUUUGAUAUGAUAACUAAAUGAAGAGUCUUGAUUUUGGACUGAUGAUUUUAUAGACUACGCGCCUCCUUGGUUAAUUGUGAAAAAAAAUCGUAACUUUUCUAAUCCAUGGAGGUCUCCCUGUGGGUCAGACUUGGCUUUGUCUUGUGGUGUCUGGCACCAGGGCAUUGGCAACAGAUAGUGUGAGUCCUGUGGUUUAUGAGGACGGGCCUCGAACAUGUUGUGACACAUCCGAGGGAUCUUGGGGAUUUUGAGACCAUUCUGAAGUCUUGAGCUGUUUGUCACUAGGGGUGGGAAUGUCUUGGCACCUCACGAUUUGAUUCGAUUCCAAUUCUGAGGUCAACAAUUCGAUUCUAAACCGAUUAUCAUGUACAUUUCGAAGCAUGAUUUAAAAAUAUAAUAGUAAUAAUUAAAUCUGAGUUUGCUACUCAGUUUGCUAAUCACUUCCUACUUUUAUGAUGAUCAUUUAAAAAAAUCUACGGAUUGAUUAUCUUCUCUAAUAUUUUAUUAAAGAAAAGGCUUUUCUUUGUCACAAAUAGAUAUGACUUUCUAUGAACACAGAAUCUUCCUGUUACAGACAAUAAGCUUUUUCCUUAGAGAAAAACAGUAUACUGUAGCCUAUAUAAAAUUAAAAAAAGCUUUCAUUUCAACACAUUAUGGACAUAUGUAUCAGCUC